This is a long non-coding RNA of Saccostrea echinata, 185 nucleotides long. RefSeq lists it as uncharacterized. Lineage: Eukaryota; Metazoa; Mollusca; Bivalvia; Ostreida; Ostreidae. The record is from RefSeq and is a predicted model, not a curated record. The transcript is spliced from 3 exons.
AACACCAUGGAUGUUGAGAAAUUUGGGGUCUCUGCUAGAAUCAUGUGGACCCCAGUGUAACAAAUCUAUGGAAAGAGAGAAAAUCUCAGCUCAAGGGUCAACAUGUCUUUAUUCCAAGAAAGAGUGUACAUAUGCCAGAAUCAUAUGGACCGCAGACUGGCCCUGGUGAUUCUGUUAAGAAAAAA